CUUCCUCAAUCUGUUGCGGGCAGAUGAAAUGAAUGUGGCUGUCGAUACCACCGGCGGUGGCGAUCAAGCCUUCACCGGCAAUGGCCUCGGUGCCGGGGCCAAUAAUGAUGGUCACGCCCGGCUGUACAUCGGGAUUGCCGGCCUUGCCGAUCCCGACGAUAUGGCCGUCCUUGAUCCCGAUGUCGGCCUUGACGAUGCCCCAGUGAUCGACGAUCAGCGCAUUGGUGAUCACAGUAUCGACCGCGCCUUCGGCCUGUGAACGCUGCGACUGGCCCAUGCCGUCGCGGAU
This 289-nucleotide small RNA is filed under the name Candidatus Contendobacter odensis Run_B_J11. RNAcentral's name for it is "5' ureB small RNA". It matches the Rfam family "5' ureB small RNA". Lineage: Bacteria; Pseudomonadati; Pseudomonadota; Gammaproteobacteria; Candidatus Competibacteraceae. The record is from Rfam by way of RNAcentral.